This 5383-nucleotide long non-coding RNA is filed under the name Sus scrofa (pig). RNAcentral's name for it is "lncRNA (ENSSSCG00050026718.1)". The record is from RNAcentral. Lineage: Eukaryota; Metazoa; Chordata; Mammalia; Artiodactyla; Suidae.
GAUAUAUUACAUCUUCUGCAUAACCUCCAACUGAAAUAAAGAGCUGAUUGGAUAAUAUUGAUUGAUGGAAUGAUUGGAUUAGAAAUUUUGCACAGCACUAAGGCAAAUAGAGGACCUCAAAUAAAGUGCAAAUAGGGAAAAGGGCCAGGUAAGCUUCCCCCAAGGGUGUCUUGCAAUCCUGAGGAUGUGGUGGAUCAGGAGGAAUGACUGUCAUCGUUGAUGGUGUGACUGCAACAUGGUGCAGCCACCUUGGAAGACGGUUGGGUGGCUUCUUAUAAACUAAACCUACUCUUACUCUGUGAUCCAGCAGCCAUGCCCCUUGGUAUUUACCCAAAGGAGUUUAAAAGUUAUGACCACACAGAAAUCUGCACACGCAUGUUUAUAGCAGCUACAUUUGUAAUUACCAAGAGCUUGGAAGCAACCAACAUGUCUUUCAGUAAGUGAAUAGAUAAAUAUACCGCGAUACAUCUAGACAGUAGCAUACUAUCCAUCAUUAAAAAGAAAUGAGCUAACAACCCAUGAAAAGACCUGGAGAAAACGUAAAUGCAUAUUACUAAGUGAAAGAUGUCAAUGUACAAAGGCUACAUACUGUAUGAUUCCGACUCUGUGAUUUUUCUGGAAAAGACAGAAAUCUGGAAAUAGUAAAGUCAGUGUCUGUCAGGGGUUGAGGGGACUGGAGGGAUAAAUAGGGGGAGCAAAGAGGUGACUACUCUGAGUGAUGCUACAAUGAUAUAUGUCACAUGUCCAAACCCAAAGAAUGUACAACCCCAAGAGUGAACCCUAAAAUAAACCGUGGACUCUGGGUGAUGAUGUUGCAUCCAUGUAGGGUCAUCCAUUGGGAAAAAAUGUACAAUCUGGUUGCAGGGGGAGCCUGUUCACCAAGUGAGAGGCUGUGGCGGGGGAAAAGGCUGGGGAUGUAUUUAUCUUUCUCUCAAUCUUGCUGUCAACCUAAAACUGCUCUAAAAAAUAAAUUCUUGUUUUCAAAAAUAAGAUUGAAUCCAUCCAAUGUUCUAAAAAUAGAUCAGCAGAAGAGAAUAAGGGCCAAGCCUGUGUGUACAUGAAAGACACAGGUUUGAUUGGCAGAUAUACCAGCGUGGUGGGGGAAGCUGGGCUGUUCAGAACAGGUGCAUAAAAACUAUUACUCACAUGGAAAAUAUAUCAAACUGGAUUCCUGGCUUUCAUCCCAUUCACACACACACUCACGCACACACAUACACACACCACUUCAGAUGGAUGCAAUACUUAAAUGUGGGAAAAAAUCACCUUUAUAAUAUCUUUGUGAUAAAGUUCUUAACUUGGAAGUAAGUUAUUAAUAGAAAGACAAAGACAAGCCACAACACGAAAAAGAUACUUGAACCACAUAGCCGCAUUAAUAUCCACAACACAUUAAAAACUCCAAAUUCUCCUGUAAGCCUGUAAAUAGUCCAUAGGGAGGGGGAAAAAACUUGAAUAGAUGUUUUACUGAUGAUUAAUUAUAUUUUAACCAUAAACAUAUAAAAACUUGCUCCAUCUAAUAAUUUGAGAUAUGAACUUUGAAACCAAAAUGAGAUACUAUUUAAACUAGGCAAAACUUCAAAAGUUGGCUUAUACCUAAGUUUGGGGAGGAAGUGGCUCAAAGAAAGUUCUUACUCAUGGCUAGAAACCUGAAAUUAGUAUCAUCACCUCCAAAAAUGGUUUGGUGUAUCUUGGUAAAUCUGAACAUUGUGUUAUCUGCCCAUGUAGCCAUUGUUUAUUUCGAAGUAUCUUUCCUAUAGAAACUCUCAAAUCGGUGCCAGAGGGUAUAUCUUAAUGUGAUAGGAUCACUGUUCUUAGUAUUUCCCCAUUGGAAACAACUUUAGCUCUUGCAACAGAGUCAACUCAGGUCCAGCCACAGACUGGAGCCCCACAGGGAAAAGACAUGGGCCAUGGCUCCAGGUGUCAGCGUGGAUGUGCUGUGGGAAAACAAAGUGUACAUUUUAUUAUUUUGUCUGCAUCAAAUUUUACAUUUUGUGAAAGAUAUCAUGUUAGUAUGGGCAUGCUCUCUGAACAUGUAUACUAAGUUUGUAGCAAUUUGUAAUGUAAGGCAGUAAAGGAACAUUGUGUCCGAGGCACAGCUCUAAGGGAAGAUGGAGUGACUCAGAGUGAAGGCCAGCCUGGUGGCACUGGCCUCCAUCCCCUGUAUAAUUGUGCUGAAUUCUGUGUCUGUUUUGAUUGCAUUCUUCCUGAUGAGCACAUAUCGACACAUUCUUGCUGAGGUGUUAUCUUCUCAGAUGCCUUGGGAUUGUGAAGAGGGAAGACCCAAGAGCAAGUGUUUGUUUUGAUGGAGAGACAGUGGGCUGUGACAUUCUGGCUGAAAACCCUUUCUUCAAUUUUGGGCAAAUCAGUUAGUCUUGCUAACUUUGAAAUAAUUUAUAGUUAAAAUUACAAUAGUGAUAUCUACCCUCAAUAGUUAUAUCUACCCUCCCUGAGUUGGAGGGAGAAGAAGGAUAUAAUUAUCUCUUGUUUAUCCCAUCCUCCAAAAGGGAGAGAAAAAAUGUCCAAUCUGUUACUAGAUCAUCUUUGAGGUUAAUUCCUGAUCUACUUCAGUCAGAAUCAAUUCAUUUAUUAAUACAUUACUGGCUCCGUGGUGACAAACCCAGACAGUAUCCAUGAGGAUGUAGGUUCAACACCUGGCCUUGCUCAGUGGGUCAAGGAUCAAUACUUUUCCUUGAGCUGUGGUGUAGGUCACAGACGCAGCUUGGAUCUGGCAUUGCUGUGGCUGUGGUGCAGGCUGGAAGCACCUGCAGCUCCAGUUCAACCCCUAGCCUGGGAACUUCCACAUGCCAUGGGAGCAGCUCUAAAAAUCAAAUAAAAAAAAAUUAGGAAACUGCUUGUCUGCUUUGUAUUUGUAUGCAAUAAGCAUUCUAGCAUGUUUUGUUUUGUGGUGGUUUUUUUCGUUUUGGUUUUUUUGCCAUGUCCUUGGCAUGCCUGGACCAGGGAUCAGACAUAACUGUCUACAAUGACAAAAAGACUUAGGAAGGCAUGCUUAAAAUCAAUGCAAUUGACAAAAAAAAAAAAAAAAAAAUACUUGAUUGCUGCCAUGUCGUACAACACUUUAAGAUAAUAACUAAAAUUAUGACUGACAACAUUUUACCAGAACAUGCAAGAUUUUUAGGAAUUCCAUAUAAUUUAUAGGAUGUAGAAAUGCCUACUGUGUUGUUUAACUAGUGUAGACUCCACACCUUUACAAGGGUGAGCUGUUUGCCCCUGAACACAGCGAGCAAACGCUCUUGAGGCUGGUAAAUUGGAGAACUGACCUCAGCAGAAUAGGGAGGACAAGCCACCUGGCUACUUAAUAUCUCAUUGAAGUCAAUGUCUUUUUUGAGCAUUUCCUUGGCACACCUUACCUACUUAAUACAGUCCAUAUUCCUUUCCACGAUAUUUUUUUCACCAAUUCUCUAGUUUUGUUUUCGUGAGUCAUAGACUAUUUGGCUAAACCAUUAAGUGGACCCCAUGAUUCAAAUAUGACCCAUAUCUCUGGGCAUCUCUGAAUCUGGGAAAAGGGGAAAAUCAGAUUUAUUUUUUUUUAAUUCUGUCCAACAAGUAGAGUUCCACUUGCCACACCCCUUUUUCUUAUUUAUGGAGUAUUAAUGGAAUUCUAGUCCUAGAGCAUUCUGUUUCUUGCUGGUGACUGCUGCCAGGCAGCAGUAAAACAAGCCUGAGUACUCCCCACCAUCAGCUGCUAAAAGGGAAGUACUCAUAAAUCAUAGGUGCCAGUUGGGAAAAAAAAACAGCAGUGCAACAAAAGUCAAUGCAGUGGGACUCUGAGCCACCUAUUUAAUUCAGCUCCUUUAGGACUUCAAGAACCACUCAAGCAUCAUUAUGUAUACCAGAUACAUAUAUCACCUACCUGGGCUUCUCUUAGCUCAGUCAAGUUGGCACGUGCAAUUAACCACCACAUGUGGAGUGGUGAGGACUACCACCAUAGCAUAGAUUGGGCAGCCUGAGAACUGAGCAUUUUAUUAUUCAUGUCUUUUUAAAAUUUCAUGUUUAUGAAGUUUCUUUAAUAUCAUCCCUGAUAAUUUUUUUAAGCCCACUUAAAAACUUGAGUGAUGGGACUGUGUUUGCCAUUGAAAUUGUCAUGCCACUUUUUAUUUUCAGCAUCUGUUUCUCAUUCAUUUUUAAUGUGAAUUUUAGUCACAGCAUUUCAGUUUUUUAAUGGCAUUAUUUUAACAAUAUGAAACAUAUUGUCAUGUAUUAGUUUUCCUUUUCUCUGCUUUGAAAAUGCAGAGAAAUAAACAGAAAUUAGGCAUUAACAAAUUUUUCACUCUGUCUACCCAUCCAUUUAACAAAUGGCUAUCAUGUCAUGCCCUGCAGAUACUAAGAUAAAUAAAACAUAAUUACUAUACAGUCAGCCAAGAUACCUACUACAGAGGGAGCCAGUGUUGAUGACAUUGGGGUAUGAGUCCCUGACCCAUAUAUAAGAAGAAACAGAUGCUUGAUUCUGCACAAAUAGCAGCUGAUUUUAUUUCUUUGUGCCCACAGAUUUAUGCGCUAUGAAAUAAUAUCUGUCUCUAAGGUCACUUUUAAAUAUUGACUUCAAAAUUAACUGUGACUAUUUGACUCCUAUUCCCCAGCCAAACCCUUUUACUCUCUCAUUUACAGGAUGUAAAUACACCCAGAUUCAUUACAUUGGAGUUUUCUUAUACCAGCCAUCAUGAUGUUUGACUGAACCCAUAUGUUUUGAUGCAAUUCAGCAACAUUCAGGUGAGACUUGUGGGCCCCAAUUAUAUUGCAAUCACUGUAAGAUUCCAAAGGUAGUACUCUAUCUACUUAGGGCAUUUCCAUUUGUUUAUAUGCAACAGUGAUAAUGCUGCAGGAUGGGAACAGUGGAGUGGAAGGAGCAGUAUAAGAGAUCCUGGGUCAGGACACCUGAAACUCAGUCCCAGCUGUGUUUUUCAAGUCAGAAAUAACAAGGGAGAUGCCUUUUUUAAGUGCCUGGCUUAUAGCAAGUGUUUGAUUGACGAUGGUAGUUCAUGUUAUAUCGUGAUUGCAGUUAGAAUUCUUACAAGUUCGUGCAUGACACAGAGCCCAGCACCUGUUAUACAACAAAUCUGCAGUAAAAUAUGACCAGAUGAUACAGGCAUUAGGUCUUUUGUUGUAGGUCCUUGAGUUUCUAUUCAUCUUUGUUCAGUCUCUGUUGCUCACAUUGGGUAUUUCCUAUUGGUCUGUAUCCAAGCUCACUGACUGCUUCCUCUGUCCCUUCAUUUGUCAGUCAAACCCAUCCAUUGAAUUUUUUUCUUUUAAUUUGGUUAUUGAAUUCUCACUUCUAAAGUUUUCAUUUGAUUCUAUUUUCAUGUCUGAGACAUUUUGUUUUGCAUUUGUUUCCAGUUUGUUUGUGGUCACUUGAAGCAUUUUGAGGGCG